Molecule: long non-coding RNA, 8432 nt
Filed under: Fragaria vesca (wild strawberry)
Lineage: Eukaryota; Viridiplantae; Streptophyta; Magnoliopsida; Rosales; Rosaceae
Description: long non-coding RNA (FVES_LNC002255)
Source: RNAcentral
AAUCUUAACUUUAAAAUCCAGAUUGAAUACCCCAAUUUUUCUAAAAACUCUUUAAAAGUUAUAAUAAAUCAUAAAUAAAUACCCACAAACUUUCAAAGUCUAUAAAAAUCUUCAAAACACCUUAGAAAUCAAAAUACAAUACACCCCCCUAAAUAAAGAAACCAAAUUCAUUUCAGAUAACAGAUUGAUGAACAAGCUACAUAAGACGGUAUGUAGGCUUGGCAAGCAAGUGUUUGGCCUUUGACAAUGACAAACCAAACUUCUCUGUCAUGUUCAAGUCUUGAGGUAGCAUGCCAUUUGGGAGCUCCCAGUUAAAGCAGUGCACCAGCUGUGCCAGUACUAGCCUUACUGUGGUUAGCCCUAAUUGCAUACCCGGACACCCUCUUCGGCCAGUCCCAAAUGGGAUGAGCUGAUAGUCAUGUCCCCGGAGGUCUAUGUUGCUGUUUGUAAACCUUUCCGGAUAGAAUUCCUCAACAUUUUCCGACCAAACAUUGGGAUCCCUUGCAAUGCUCCAGAAAUUCACUAUGAGUCGUGAUUUCUUCGGUAUGUCGUAUCCAUCGAUUGUAAUGUCCUUGAUGGAUUCAUGUGGGACGAGCAAGGGUGCAACUGGGUGUAGUCUGAAGCUCUCCUUGACCACCAGAUUCAAGUAAUCCAGUUUUGGCAAAUCAGACUCUUCUACCAUUCGGUCCAUACCAACCACAGUUUGGAGCUCUUCUUGGAGUUGCUUCAUGAUCCUUGGAUGCCUCAUGAGCUCUGCAAGGCUCCAAAUAAUCGUUGUAGCAGAAGUAUCGAAAGCUGCUGUGAUCAUGUCAAGUAAGAUGGCCUUCACAUUUUCACGAUCAAGAAAAUGAACUUGCUCAUCAUUCGGAUUCAACAGUUGGUUCGUAAACGAAAGCAACACGUCUACAAAGUCCUCAUGCUGGCCUUGUUUUCCACCCUUAGUUUCCGCAGCUUGUUCAUGAUCGUUAAUUAUCUUGUCCAAGAGUUGAUCGGCCGUCUUGCUCACUUUCUUCAAUCGCUUAGUCAAUCCCUGAUAAUUUUUCAAAUUAUGAAAGCAAAAUUAACAUAGAAAAUUAUAUUCAAGGCUACCUUAUACACUAGUCUAUGAUUAAUUGAAUACUUUAUACGAUACUCCAAGAUUUGAUCACCAUGAAAAAGACUACCUUGCUCACUUCAGCAGGAGGCAACAAAUUGAAUCAAAACUGGACCCGUCAACAAUAUAAUAAACUAAUAUGCAGGAGAUAUGGCUCACUAAAUAUAUAUUACCUAGACUAUUAAUAAAAAUAAAAAUCAAUUCUUACUAAAAAAUAUAAAAAAAUCAAUAAAAAUAUAAUAUGCCUAGCUACCCCGAGAAAAGGAAAUCCACUUGAAUUGACAAUUUGGUUUUUGUAUAAGAUGAUUGUUUUACCUAGCAGCUAGCAAAAUACGUCUCUGCACUAGUCACUACUGGCCAUCUCACAUUACUUUCACGAACUUAGUUUCCUAUGUUUGACUUCUAGAUUGUUGAUCCUAAUGUAGUUUGUAGAGACAAAGAAGAUUGAAGAUGUAGUGGGGAUGGUAUGAAAUGUAGUUCGUAGAGACAAAGAAGCUUGAAGAUCUAGUGGGGAUGGUAUGAAAUUUGUGAUAAUUUAGUGUUUGAUACAUGUAAAGGUAGACCAACUCCAAUCCGACUCAUAUAUCAAAUUAUCAAUGCAAUACAAGAAACUAAAGUGUGCGAAUAAUAUCAUCCGAUCCUAAAAUAAAGUGCAUUUGGCCGGAGCUACUAUAUUGUAGGUUGCAUCGGUUCAUAAAUGAAUGAUCGAAGAGAAAUGCCUAUGGGAAAGAGUAGGGAUUAGAAGCUAGCAAACCUGAAUAUCAAAUGCACUGAGGGAAGGAAUGAAAUCAGAAAUAUUGAAAGCCCCGACCAAGAAGAACAUUUCCUCAACGAAGGCUUUCAGAUCAAACUUAUCGUCCCUUUUACACCCCAACACCAUCCUAUACGUUAUGUCCUCAUUCAUCUCACCAAUCUUCUCACUAACAUCCACAACCUCACCUUCCUCUGCUGCUCUCUUCAGCUUUCCCACCAGCCCUCCCAGCUCCUCCUUCCGCAGCGGCGCGAAAGCCUCCAGUUUUGCAGGACAGAAGAGCUGAAGCGUGCAGAUCUUCCUCACAUGGCGCCAAUAGGGACCGUAUUCGGAAAAGGCCAGGCCCUUUGUGCCGUAGGCCAAGUACUCGGAGGCUUGGAUUUUUGGCCGGCUGGCGAAGUUAGUGUCAUGAGUUUUGAGGAAUAGCUCGGCGGCUUUUGGGGAGGAGAUAACAAUGGUAGGAACAUUGCCUAGACGAAGGGACAUGAUGUCUCCGUAUUGUUUGGCCAAGUUUUGGAGAGUUCGAUGGGGAAGGUUGCCUAGCAUGUGGAGGUUUCCGAUUAUGGGAAGUGGCCGAGGGCCGGGUGGUAGUUUUUGGUGUUUUGAUUUUGAGAAGGCAGAGAUGAGUGACCAAAGGCAUGCGAGGAGAACCAGGAGGAUGGCUAUCAUUGUUGGAGGAGUCAUUGUUUCUGGCUUUCUGAUCUGUGUGGAGUUGAGAGUUGAGAGGAAAUAAUGGGGAAGUAUGGGCGAUGACAAGCUCAGCUCAUCUGAUACCAUAAAAGCUAGAGAGAAAGUUUAGAGAAGAAGAUAAGGCUGCAAAUGAAUGAGAGAGAUUACGAGAAGCAUCUGAGGUUACAAGCUUAUAUACAGCUGAAAGAUAAGCACAUGAUAAACACGUGUAGAGCCAACACUGCUGAGAAUAAGUUAAUUAACUAAACAGACUAAUUGUAAUUAGCUUAAGUAAGCACAAACUAGUAACUAAUUAAAGCUCAUAGUCUAACACUGCCGUGAUAUACAUUGUUAACUUAAUCUUUUUCAUCUGAUGACGCAGCCGUAAGAAAAUUUUGGUUUCAAUAGAGGACGACAUUCAACGUUUUUUUGGUCUGCACAGAAAAUAUGUGUGGAGACUGGAGAGUAGGAUCUUAAACACGACUUUUACAAAUCAAGAAUUGUAGUUGUUAGUAUGGACCCUAUUUGGGUAUGUUCCAGAAUCAAGAUAGCAUUAAAGCGAUAAAGGUAAAUGGUCGAUCAUGAGAGCACAGCACAGCUAACAAGUCCUAAUGCUAAUACAUACUAUCGUCAACAGCAUAUGAAGGUGAAUGGUCCAACCUGCCAUCUGCACAAGGAGAAUGGCUUGAUUACGGCAUUAGACUAGUUUUGAAUACAAUCAACAUAUAUGUUACUUCUCAAGGAAAAUUCUAGCCUACAUAUCUGCAUACUAACAUAUCUUGGCCCCCAAUCUACUUCGUUGAUCCCGGCGGCCGAACCGCGCGCUGUCAUUGUCGGCUGUCCAUCAGUCUCCACCCCGACGUCCACCAGCGUUUUAGCAACUCUGACCUAGGUCCAGGCCCUGACUUCCCUCCACAAUGCAAUGGACUGAGUGGAGAACCCCGCCGCGCUGCUCCGCCAAAUCGUGCAUGCAGAUUGUAUUUUGAAGACUAUGGAAUUGAGUACCAUCUUAUAUUUUCUUAGAAGAUACAGAGUUGUACUCUUUAAUUGUUUGGAAGAACACUGAACACUAAAGAAAACAAGCUUAAAAUGAAUCAGCUAGUGGUAUUUGCAUAAUUACAGUUCCGGCCAAAGAAACUUGCUCUUGAAAUCGUGUAUAUGUAACGAACAUAUUGUUACAUAAUAGAAACAACAAUACUGAUGGAAUCGUAUCUUAAUUGCAUUUCGUAUAAUUUUUAAGCUGCAGAAUAAUAGGUGUGGGUGAAUGUUGAGAGCGUAUUCAGCGCACCCGGGUGCGCUGUAUAAUUUUCGGUGAAUAUUUAUUGAAACCCAACAAACUACAUAAGAUUAUUACAUUGAAAAUAUGACCUACAUCAGACGAUUAAGGUUUUUUUUUUUUUAUAAAACAUAAGACGAUAAGUUGGCUUGGCAAGCAAGGGUUUGCCUUUUGAGUUUUGACAUUGAUAAACCAAAAACCUCGCACUCGGACAUGUCCAGUUCUUGAGGUAGCAUGUCAUAUAGGAGCUCCCAGUUAAAGCAACGCACCAGCUGUGCCAGAACCGCCCAGAAGUACCAGCCUAACUGUGGCUAGCCCUAACUGCAUACCUGGACACCCUCUUAGGCCAGACCCGGCCCAAAUGGUAUGAGCUCAAAGUCAUGUCCCAAGAGGUCUACCUUUCUGUUCAUGAACCUUUCAGGAUAAAAUUGCUCCACAUUUUCCGACCAAACGUUGGGAUCUAUUCCAAUGCUCCAGACGUUUACUAUGAUCCUCGACUUCUUGGGUAUGUCAUAUCCAUCGAUUGUAAUGUCGUCGAUGGAUUCAUGCAUGUGGUCCUAGUAAUGGACCAACUGGGUGUAGCCUCAUGCUCUCCUUGAUCACCAUAUUCAAGUAACCCAGCUUCGGCAAGUCAUUCUCUUCCACCAUUCGGUCCAUAUAUACCAACCACAGUUUGGAGCUCUUCUAGCUUGGAGGUUCUUCAUAACCCUUGGAUGCCUCAAGAGCUAGGAAAAUCCCCAAAUAAUUGUUGUAGCUGAAGUAUCAAGAGCCCCCGUGAUCAUGUACGUCUAGUAAGAUGGCUUUCACAUUUGUUCGAUCAAGAUAAUGAACUUGCUCAUCGUUUGGGUUCAACGGUUGGUUCGUUAAGGAAAGCAACACGUCUACAAUGUCAUCAUGCUGGCCUUGUUUCCCACUCCUAGUUUCCGCAACAAUUCAUGGUCGUCAAUUAUCUUGCCCAAGAGUUUAUCGACUGUCUUACUAACUCUCUUCACUCGCUUAGUCAAUCCUUGAUAAAUAACUUACAGAUGCGUUGUAGUAGCUAAACAUCUAAUAAAAGUCAGUAUUACCCCCACCAUCCAAUUUAUUUACGGAUACAUUUUCAGACGUGUUUCCUUUCUGAGAACAUAUUCUGAAAUUACAAGGUGCCGGACAUGCUCUGGUACGGUCGAAAACUUUUGGUGACCGCAGGAAAAAGCCGUAUACGGUGAGGCAAUAAUGACUUUUCGACCCUAUAGUUGUAUGCUAAACACUUACGCACUAAGAUGAAGAGUCAGUUCUGCCCCACUAUCCAGUUUAUUUACAGACGCAUUUCUAAACGUUUCCAGCGUGUUUCCGAACGUUUCUUACGCGUUUCCGAGAACAGAUUAUGUAUCAUAAAGGCACUGAGAACACUCUAGUACGGCUAAAAACUUCCGGGGACUGUCGGAAUAGGCCGGAUACGACGGGAUAUAUAUCCGUAAAUAAGUUGGAUACGUAGAGACAAUAAUGAUGUUGCCUCCCAUAUGUAUACUACAAUUGGGGAGCUCCCAGUUGUGCGUGAACUAGCUGGACCUAACCCAACUGCAAUUAGGCCCAUUUUUAGACCAGACACUCUUUCGCUGAUGAUCCGACCCGACCCAAAUGGUAUCAGAUAAUUUCCAGGGUCAAAAGUGAAAACCAUGAUAGAUUCAAAUUUACAGAGUUGCAGUUACAAUGAAGACCCAGAAUUCUACUCUGCUUCUGUUAAAACCAUUAUUACUACUAUAACCAAUCGUCUCCGACUAGCUGUGGAACCAGAUCUCUGAGACAGAGAGAGGAUCGUUGACCGUUGACCGAUCCAACCAAUGGCUCAGAUCUUCGAGCACUUCGUCGUCUGCGGCAUCGGGCCGGAGAUUCGAACCCUCGACGGCGGCAGAGGAUUCCACGGCUUCGCCGAAAUGUACCUCCCGUCUUUGCUCGACCAGUUCCCUCCCGCCAACCACACUCUCUAUCCUCCUCCACCGCCUCAGCUCCCCACCGUAAGUACCGAAACGACGCCGGUUUUGCUUUGCUCUCUCUCGCCGGAAUCGGCGAAUUCUAAUUUCGGUUGUGGUUUUCUACAGUGUGUGCUGCCAGCUGGCGUUUCGUCGUUUCCGCGGAGCUAUCCCAUUGUUCUUACUGGUAUGAAUGCCUUGAGCUCUCUCGCCUAUUUUGCUUCACUCUGCUCUUAAACGAUGUCGUUUUCUGUAAUUAAUAAAUCUUCUCUUGGAUUCAUUUGGGAGUACUGGAUUAAUUGGAUUUUGGACUCUAGUUACAUUCAUCUUGGCUUGGAAAGGAGCCAAAAGAGUUGGACAUCUGAAGUUGAAUAUGAUGAAUACAAAUUGCUUUAUAGAGUUGCAGGCUUAUUAAAUUACAUCUUAUUGCUGUUUCUAAUUUUCCUUGGUUCUCUCUCAGCGCACCUUCUGUCCUUACUGGUAAAGACCCCAAAUCAGAUCCAUUGGAGCGGGCUGUAAGUCCUAUACUCCUUCUACAUGAUAUCUAGUAGGUUACUUUAGAGCUUUCGUUAGCUAGUGUAAUAUUGUUCAUUCAGGCUGAAAGGGAAUGUAUGGUUUUGAACAUCAAAGUUAAGCUGCAGGUACAUUUUUUUUGGGGUUAAAUAUACAUACUUGUGUACAUUUUUGUUCAACUCUUGUUGUCCUGUUCUACAUUAUCUACUAUUGGUUUUACAGAUGGGAUGAAAAUAAUUGAUGUGCAUGGUUAUGACCUUAUACUAGGAGUUUAUUAUCAUUUCUCUUAACAGAAAAAUUGACUAAAAAAACUCGGUCAAUAAAUUGGCCUGCCAUCUUUUGGUCUCUUUUAGCAUUGUCCAAUGUUUAAAUCCCCAUCAACUGCCACAUCGUUUGCUUAGAUGUGGUGCACCAAACUGUGGGCUAUUUAGUCAAUAUUCAUUCAAUUAAAUGAUUUACUUCUGACUAGUUUUCAAGAUUAAAAACAAGAGAACUAGAAGUAUAGGAUUGAUGGUCUUGAAUCUUGAUACUGUCUGGCCGUUGCUAAAAUGCUAAUCGAUGUGCGUAUGACAAUUACAAUUUUUGGCAUAUAAUAAUGUAAUUAUGUUUGAUGAGCAGGGUCUGUGGCUGCGUCUUCUAAAACUGGGACCUACUGAUAAUCCUCUUUCUUCAUUUGAGUAUGGAACAAUUCUUGGUAUGCCUCUUUGAAUAAUGAACUCUCACAUUUCUUACGAUGAGGCAAACUUCUGAUGUCUAGUUCUUGAAAGUAUAUCUUGCUUGGACCUUACUAUUUUGGCUCUGCAGCUUUAAUUGAAUCGGAUGCAGAGGGGAUUGGUGGCAGUGGGUUUGUUGAAUGUAUAAGGGAGCACAUAAAUUCGGUAUGUUUCUCUUGAAAUAAUUCAUGGUUCUCUCCACCCUCUAGAAGUAUCCAUAAAACAUAAUAUUAAUAGUGGAUUUAUACGCUCUCAGGGAUGGCACUGUCAGUUAACUGAAGAACAAUUUAUUGCUGUGAAGGAACUGGUACAAAUUCUAAGUCAAUAUUCAAAGGAGUGAUCUUAUUUGAUUUAGGAUUAGUAACAGUUUGAGAUUGCAACAUCAAAAGCCAUGGUUAUGUUUUAAACUGUUCUUCACUGAUUCAUCAAUUCCUUUUACUAGUGUUGAUACUAUUUAGUUCAGGAAAAACAUAUAUUGUUCUCAUCAAUAGUUUAACCGCAUGUGGUCUUAAGAGUGUGUGUUUUCUGUUUUGUAGACAAACCAUGAGCGCGAGACAAGUGGGCAGAAUGAUGCUCUGUUUUUGGAAAGUAGGUGCUAUUUUUUCUUGACCGAUGGGUGGAUUCUCAUAGUGAACAAUUGAGUCUAGUUCGAGGAAAUUUUUUUUUUUGUUGAGAUGGUCAUGUAACAUUAAGCAGAGUAUGCUCACAGAUUUUAAUGGUAUAGUUACUUUUAAAUGGUCAUGGUUAUAGUUUGUUUGUUUGUUUUUUUUUUUUCACAAUAUUCAAUCAUGUUUGAGAAAUUGCCAAUUGUGCUUUCAAUAGUACUGAAGAAAACAUUUUAUUAGUUUUUACCCAUGCUUGUGUUGCUCAUUUCGAAUGGAUCCGGAUUCUCUGUUUGGAUAGUUGGAUUUAUGUUGUUUGAAUUUGUUUGGAUGUCUUGUAACUAUUAGAUGAAGUAAGGAUGACAUUACGGUUUUAGAUUAUACUUAAUCUAAUGGUUAGAAAUCAUCCACGUAAAUUUAAGCAACAUAAAUCUAAAUAGAGAAGUCAAAUUCAUUUCGGAUAACAGAUGGAUGAACACGCUACAUAAGACGGUACGUAGGCUUGGCAAGCAAGUGUUUGGCUUUUGACAAUGACAAACCAAACUUCUCUGUCAUGUCCAAGUCUUGGGGUAGCAUGCCAUUUGGGAGCUCCCAGUUAAAGCAAUGCAUCAGCUGUGCCAGAACUAGCCUAACUGUGGUUAGCCCUAAUUGCAUACCCGGACACCCUCUUCGGCCAGUCCCAAAUGGGAUGAGCUGAUAGUCAUGUCCCUGAAGGUCUAUGUUGCUGUUUGUAAACCUUUCCGGACAGAAUUCCUCAACAUUUUCCGACCAAACAUUGGGAUCCCUUGCAAUGCUCCAGAAAUUCACUAUGAGUCGCGAUUUCUUCGGUAUGUCGUAUCCAUCGAUUGUAAUGUCCUUGAUGG